CUACGGGAGGCAGCAGUGGGGAAUUUUGGACAAUGGGGGAAACCCUGAUCCAGCCAUUCCGCGUGAGUGAAGAAGGCCUUCGGGUUGUAAAGCUCUUUUGUCCGGAACGAAACGGUGGCGGUGAAUAUCCGCCACUACUGACGGUACCGGAAGAAUAAGCACCGGCUAACUACGUGCCAGCAGCCGCGGUAAUACGUAGGGUGCGGGCGUUAAUCGGAAUUACUGGGCGUAAAGCGUGCGCAGGCGGUUUUGUAAGCCAGAUGUGAAAUCCCCGGGCUUAACCUGGGAAUGGCAUUUGGGACUGCAAGGCUCGAGUAUGGCAGAGGGGGCUAGAAUUCCUGGUGUAGCAGUGAAAUGCGUAGAUAUCAGGAGGAAUACCGAUGGCGAAGGCAGGUCCCUGGGCUGACACUGACGCUCAUGCACGAAAGCGUGGGGAGCAAACAGGAUUAGAUACCCUGGUAGUCC
RNAcentral lists this ribosomal RNA (465 nucleotides) under uncultured bacterium. RNAcentral describes it as "bacterial SSU rRNA". It matches the Rfam family "Bacterial small subunit ribosomal RNA", at positions 339 to 796 of the family's 1533-position model. The record is from RNAcentral.